UACGUAGGGUGCAAGCGUUGUCCGGAAUUAUUGGGCGUAAAGAGCUCGUAGGCGGUCUGUCGCGUCUGCUGUGAAAACUCAGGGCUUAACCCUGAGCUUGCAGUGGGUACGGGCAAACUAGAGUGUUGCAGGGGAGACUGGAAUUCCUGGUGUAGCGGUGAAAUGCGCAGAUAUCAGGAGGAACACCGGUGGCGAAGGCGGGUCUCUGGGCAACAACUGACGCUGAGGAGCGAAAGCGUGGGGAGCGAACAGG
Molecule: ribosomal RNA, 253 nt
Filed under: uncultured bacterium
Lineage: Bacteria
Description: partial 16S ribosomal RNA
Rfam family: Bacterial small subunit ribosomal RNA
Source: RNAcentral